CGGACGGGUGAGUAACACGUGGAUAACCUACCUAUAAUACUGGGAUAACUUCGGGAAACCGGAGCUAAUACCGGAUAAUAUAUUGAACCGCAUGGUUCAAUAGUGAAAGACGGUUUUGCUGUCACUUAUAGAUGGAUCCGCGCUGCAUUAGCUAGUUGGUAAGGUAACGGCUUACCAAGGCAACGAUGCGUAGCCGACCUGAGAGGGUGAUCGGCCACACUGGAACUGANACACGGUCCAGACUCCUACGGGAGGCAGCAGGC
This 263-nucleotide ribosomal RNA is filed under the name uncultured Staphylococcus sp. RNAcentral describes it as "partial 16S ribosomal RNA". It matches the Rfam family "Bacterial small subunit ribosomal RNA", at positions 99 to 354 of the family's 1533-position model. Lineage: Bacteria; Bacillati; Bacillota; Bacilli; Caryophanales; Staphylococcaceae. The record is from RNAcentral.